AUCCUGAUUAGGCAAUCAUACUAUUUUAGAUAAGCAAUAAUAUGGUUCCCAAUAAGCAACUUAGUACUCCAGCAAGAUUUCAGAUGUCAAUUACAUGAAUUGUUAUUUUGUGGAUGUAUUAUUUUUUUGUAUGUGAAGCAAAAGUGCUACAUUUAUAGGGUUUUUCAUCUCGGUUGUUCCCUUUUCAGUGAAGAAACUAUGUUGCUUUUUUUGAACG
This 217-nucleotide long non-coding RNA is filed under the name Setaria italica (foxtail millet). Its description in RNAcentral is "long non-coding RNA (SITA_LNC004829)". The record is from RNAcentral. Lineage: Eukaryota; Viridiplantae; Streptophyta; Magnoliopsida; Poales; Poaceae.